This 484-nucleotide ribosomal RNA is filed under the name uncultured bacterium. Its description in RNAcentral is "partial 16S ribosomal RNA". It matches the Rfam family "Bacterial small subunit ribosomal RNA", at positions 28 to 523 of the family's 1533-position model. The record is from RNAcentral.
GACGAACGCUGGCGGCGUGCUUAACACAUGCAAGUCGAACGAUGAACCCGGAGCUUGCUCCGGUGGAUUAGUGGCGAACGGGUGAGUAACACGUGAGUAACCUGCCCUUGACUUUGGGAUAACUGCGGGAAACUGUAGCUAAUACCGGAUACGACCCUCGGCGGCAUCGCCAGGGGGUGGAAAGAAUUUCGGUCAAGGAUGGACUCGCGGCCUAUCAGCUAGUUGGUGAGGUAACGGCUCACCAAGGCGACGACGGGUAGCCGGCCUGAGAGGGUGACCGGCCACACUGGGACUGAGACACUGCCCAGACUCCUACGGGAGGCAGCAGUGGGGUAUAUUGCACAAUGGGCGCAAGCCUGAUGCAGCAACGCCGCGUGAGGGAUGACGGCCUUCGGGUUGUAAACCUCUUUCAGCACCGACGAAGCGCAAGUGACGGUAGGUGCAGAAGAAGGACCGGCCAACUACGUGCCAGCCGCCGCGGUAA